This 111-nucleotide microRNA precursor is filed under the name Haemonchus contortus (barber pole worm). Its description in RNAcentral is "microRNA hco-mir-5964 precursor". The record is from miRBase by way of RNAcentral. Lineage: Eukaryota; Metazoa; Nematoda; Chromadorea; Rhabditida; Trichostrongylidae.
GUCGCGUUAUAGCUUCCCGUGACUCGGAAAGUCGCGAUUUGAAAACGCUUUCUCCUUGAAAGCGCUUUCAACUCUCGACUGUCCGAAUCAUGGUGAGCCAUUUUAUGAAGA